This 262-nucleotide ribosomal RNA is filed under the name uncultured marine eukaryote. RNAcentral's name for it is "partial 18S ribosomal RNA". It matches the Rfam family "Eukaryotic small subunit ribosomal RNA", at positions 617 to 882 of the family's 1831-position model. The record is from RNAcentral.
GGUUAAAACGCUCGUAGUUGGGUUUCUGUCAGGAACAACUGGUCUGUCCUGAGUGUCGAGUACUAGUUCGGCUCCUGGCAUCUCCUUGGGGAACGGGUGCGCACUUCACUGUGUGGCCUGGAAACCUUGACGUUUACUUUGAGGAAAUGAGAGUGCUUCAAGCGGGUGUCCGCCACGAAUACGUUAGCAUGGAAUAAUAGUAUUGGACCUCGGAUCAUAGCUGUUGGUUGCUGGAAUCGGGGUGAGGGUAAACAGGGACAGU